RNAcentral lists this long non-coding RNA (648 nucleotides) under Homo sapiens (human). RNAcentral's name for it is "RNASEH2B antisense RNA 1". The record is from RNAcentral. Lineage: Eukaryota; Metazoa; Chordata; Mammalia; Primates; Hominidae.
UUUUUUUCUAGUUACUUAGAUUUGUGGAGCUCUAAUUUGAUUGUGGGCAUCCUUUAUAAGGCUUGUUCCACCUUCUCCUGUGGAGCUAUACCAGCUGUGACUCCUGUUUUAAGAGCUAUGUUCUCUUCUCUGUUGCAGACCUAUGUUAUAUCUGCCUUAGUGCAUGGGCUGCUGGUCAAUGCUAACAGCUGGCUCUCAGGGAAAAAAGAAAAACCAUCUGUGGCAUCUGCCAAUUUCUGUGGUGUAAAUACUCUGAGCUCUGCCAAUUUCAAGCCAUCCAUCUGACAUUGCUGAACCCAAAGUUGGCAAGGGAUGUGCACAAUUGCCUUUUGCAAGCAAGCUUCUGCAAAAGACUUGAGACAGCUCACAAUGAAGUACUCUGUAUUAGGCAGGGUAAUAUUGAUUGCAAGUGACAGAAACCCAAUCAGAAACUCACUGGAGUCAUGAGGAACACUUAUUGGCUCAGAGUAAAGGCAAAAUAGACCUUCAGAGAAAUAAAGUCUGGGAAAUUGACUAGAUCCUCACUGAAAGAACUACUAAAGGAUGUACUUAUGGAAGAAGAAAAUUACAAAGUGAAAGAACUGGGAUGCAAGAAGUAAUGGUGAGCAUGGAAUUUGGCAAAGAUUCAAGUAAAACAAAGCAAGGACU